UACGUAGGGAGCAAGCGUUGUCCGGAUUUAUUGGGCGUAAAGAGCUCGUAGGCGGCUUAGAAAGUCAGGUGUGAAACCUCCAGGCUCAACCUGGAGACGCCACUUGAUACUUCUAUGGCUUGAGUUCGGUAGGGGUAAGCGGAAUUCCUGGUGUAGCGGUGAAAUGCGCAGAUAUCAGGAGGAACACCGAUGGCGAAGGCAGCUUACUGGGCCGAUACUGACGCUGAGGAGCGAAAGCGUGGGGAGCGAACCGG
This 254-nucleotide ribosomal RNA is filed under the name uncultured bacterium. RNAcentral describes it as "partial 16S ribosomal RNA". It matches the Rfam family "Bacterial small subunit ribosomal RNA", at positions 524 to 776 of the family's 1533-position model. The record is from RNAcentral.